GAGUUUGAUCCUGGCUCAGGAUGAACGCUGGCGGCGUGCUUAACACAUGCAAGUCGAGCGAGAAUUUUUAAUCGGAAGCUUCGGCCGAUUUUCUUACUAGACAGCGGCGGACGGGUGAGUAACGCGUGGGUAACCUACCUUGUACUGGGGGAUAACGUUUUGAAAAGAACGCUAAUACCGCAUAAGCGCACAGCAUCACAUGAUGCAGUGUGAAAAACUCCGGUGGUACAAGAUGGACCCGCGUCUGAUUAGCUAGUUGGUGAGAUAAAAGCUCACCAAGGCGACGAUCAGUAGCCGACCUGAGAGGGUGAUCGGCCACAUUGGGACUGAGACACGGCCCAAACUCCUACGGGAGGCAGCAGUGAGGAAUAUUGCACAAUGGGGGAAACCCUGAUGCAGCGACGCCGCGGGAAGGAUGAAGGUUUUCGGAUCGUAACCUUCUAUCAGCAGGGAAGAUAGUGACUGUACCUGACUAAGAAGCCCCGGCUAACUACGUGCCAGCAGCCGCGGUAAUACGUAGGGUGCGAGCGUUAAUCGGAAUUACUGGGCGUAAAGCGUGCGCAGGCGGUUUGAUAAGACAGAUGUGAAAUCCCCGAGCUCAACUUGGGGACUGCAUUUGUGACUGUUAGACUAGAGUAUAGCAGAGGGGGGGAGAAUUCCACGUGUAGCAGUGAAAUGCGUAGAUAUGUGGAGGAAUACCGAUGGCGAAGGCAGCCCCCUGGGUUAAUACUGACGCUCAUGUACGAAAGCGUGGGUAGCGAACAGGAUUAGAUACCCUGGUAGUCCACGCCCUAAACGAUGUCAACUAGUUGUUGGAGAAGGAGACUUCUUUAGACGUAGCUAACGCGUGAAGUUGACCGCCUGGGUAGUACGGUCGCAAGAUUAAAACUCAAAGGAAUUGACGGGGACCCGCACAAGCGGUGGAUUAUGUGGAUUAAUUCGAUGCAACGCGAAAAACCUUACCUCCCCUUGACAUGCCAAGAAUUGCCAGAGAUGGCUUGAUGCCCGAAAGGGAACCUGGACACAGUGCUGCAUGACUGUCGUCAGCUCGUGUCGUGAGAUGUUGGGUAGUCCCGCACGAGCGCACCCUUGCAUAGUGCUACGAAAGGUCACUCUAAUGGGACUGCAGUGACAAUCGAGAAGGUGGGGAUGACGUCAGUCUCAUGGCUAUGACAGCUUCCAACGUCUAUCAAAUGGUUCGGUUACAAAAGGGCUC
Molecule: ribosomal RNA, 1216 nt
Filed under: uncultured prokaryote
Description: partial 16S ribosomal RNA
Rfam family: Bacterial small subunit ribosomal RNA
Source: RNAcentral